AAAACUAGCAAUAAGAAUAAUCAAGAUGAAGAACUCUAAGAAUAAUACUAAGGGGUUUUCGAUCUACUAAUCCAUCUAAAUCCCUAUUGAGACUCCCUAAACCCAACAAGGUGAUUACUCAGACAUGACAAUAUAAAC
RNAcentral lists this small RNA (138 nucleotides) under Arabidopsis thaliana (thale cress). RNAcentral describes it as "ATSL273470". The record is from RNAcentral. Lineage: Eukaryota; Viridiplantae; Streptophyta; Magnoliopsida; Brassicales; Brassicaceae.